GAUGAACGCUGGCGGUAUGCUUAACACAUGCAAGUCGAACGAAAUGCGAUGGGGUUUACUCUAUCGUAUGGCAGUGGCGGACGGGUGCGUAACGCGUAAGAACUUACCUUUUGGCGAGGGACAACCGCGGGAAACUGCGGCUAAUACCUCAUAGAGCUGAGGAGCGAAAGGUGAAAACCACCAAAAGAGAGGCUUGCGUCUGAUUAGCUAGUUGGUGAGGGUAAUGGCCUCCCAAGGCGACGAUCAGUAGCUGGUCUGAGAGGAUGAUCAGCCACACUGGAACUGAGACACGGUCCAGACUCCUACGGGAGGCAGCAGUGAGGAAUUUUCCGCAAUGGGCGAAAGCCUGACGGAGCAAUACCGCGUGGAGGAGGAAGGCCCGUGGGUCGUAAACUCCUUUUCUCAGAGAAGAACACAAUGACGGUAUCUGAGGAAUAA
Molecule: ribosomal RNA, 438 nt
Filed under: uncultured bacterium JIII-04-98
Lineage: Bacteria
Description: bacterial SSU rRNA
Rfam family: Bacterial small subunit ribosomal RNA
Source: RNAcentral